RNAcentral lists this ribosomal RNA (154 nucleotides) under Placidium pilosellum. RNAcentral's name for it is "5.8S ribosomal RNA". It matches the Rfam family "5.8S ribosomal RNA". From Rfam's summary of the family: 5.8S ribosomal RNA (5.8S rRNA) is a component of the large subunit of the eukaryotic ribosome. RNAcentral also lists the same sequence under 2 other names. The record is from RNAcentral. Lineage: Eukaryota; Fungi; Ascomycota; Eurotiomycetes; Verrucariales; Verrucariaceae.
AACUUUCAACAACGGAUCUCUUGGUUCGGGCAUCGAUGAAGAACGCAGCGAAAUGCGAUAAGUAAUGCGAAUUGCAGAUCUCCGUGAGUCAUCGAAUCUUUGAACGCACAUUGCGCCCUCGGGUAUUCCCGAGGGCAUGCCUGUCCGAGCGUCA